CCUGCCCCCGCGCCGCCCGCUCGUCCGCCUGUCUCAGCAAGGCCAUCGGUCCGUCCGCCCGCCCGCCCUCCCGGCGAUCCUCCGCCCCGGUCCCGCUAGCCUGGACGCGCGCGUCGCUUCCUCCGUUCCGGUCGCCGCAAGCCGGCUCCCCGCCCCCGGGCCGGCCGCCACCUCUACGCUAGGCCGGGGAUUGGCAGCGCGCGUAGGCCGCGCCGCCGCUGAUGGAGCUGGAAUAAAGGGGCGGCAGAGAGAGCAGCUGGUCGCCGCUUGCCCCGCGCCUGGCUCCGCGGGCGGCCUGGAGCAGAACAGUUAGAAGUCAGGCUGGCCUAUGAAGACAUACUUUACCCUUCCUCCUCUCAGGAGAAAACUUACAAACUUUUCAACUUCAGAGGCCGAUGAGCUGGAAACCUGAAAGUGGGUUGCCUGUGACUCUAAAAAUUCCUCCCGCUCUCUGGCAUUAUCAUAUGCUGCCACAAAGUGAACUGCUCACUGUGGAAGGCAGAGUUUCCCUGGCAGUGUUGGGACCCUGUCUUGAAGCACCCCCUGCCCUGUAGAUGCAGCCUUGUAUUCUGUCUCCUCACUUGAUGACUAGGGCCGUCUGACCAGUCCUCCUCCGUGCCUUGUCUGAGGUCCUUGUCCAUCCUUGAGAUUGGGCAACUUCUCUCUCUGAGUUGGGUCACCUUAAGCGGGAAACUGAAGCCAUUAAUCUCCAAAC
RNAcentral lists this long non-coding RNA (715 nucleotides) under Urocitellus parryii (Arctic ground squirrel). RNAcentral's name for it is "lncRNA (ENSUPAG00010011993.1)". Lineage: Eukaryota; Metazoa; Chordata; Mammalia; Rodentia; Sciuridae. The record is from RNAcentral.